AGCAGCCGCGGUAAUUCCAGCUCCAAUAGCGUAUAUUAAAGUUGUUGCAGUUAAAAAGCUCGUAGUUGAAUUUCGGGAUUUGUCGGUUGGUCGGGCUUCACUGUCCGCACUGACCUGACGGAUUCCUACCUUCUGAAUAACCAGCAUGCUAUUAAUUUAGUGCGUUGGGGAAGCAGAGCUAUUACCUUGAAAAAAUUAGAGUGCUUAAAGCAGGCUUGUGCUUGAAUAGAUUAGCAUGGAAUAAUAAAAUAGGACGGCAUGGUUCUAUUUUGUUGGUUUCUAGGAUCACCGUAAUGAUUAAUAGGGAUAGUUGGGGGCAUUAGUAUUCAAUUGUCAGAGGUGAAAUUCUUGGAUUUAUUGAAGACUAACUUCUGCGAAAGCAUUUGCCAAGGAUGUUUUCAUUAAUCAAGAACGAAAGUUAGGGGAUCGAAGACGAUCAGAUACCGUCGUAGUCUUAACCAUAAACUAUGCCGACUAGGGAUCGGACGAUGUUAAUUUUUUAAUGACUCG
This 510-nucleotide ribosomal RNA is filed under the name uncultured Acaulospora. RNAcentral describes it as "SSU rRNA". It matches the Rfam family "Eukaryotic small subunit ribosomal RNA", at positions 569 to 1078 of the family's 1831-position model. Lineage: Eukaryota; Fungi; Glomeromycota; Glomeromycetes; Diversisporales; Acaulosporaceae. The record is from RNAcentral.